CUCCACAUCCCUUGUAAGUUGUAUUCCUAGGUAUUUUAUUCUCUUUGUAGCAAUUGUGAAUGGGAGUUCACUCAUGAUUUGGCUCUCUGUUUGUCUAUUAUUGGUGUAUAGGAAUGCUUGUGAUUUUCGCACAUUGAUUUUGUAUCCUGAGACUUUGCUGAAGUUGGGCAAUCAAGCAAAAGAAAGAAAUAAAGAGUAUUCAAAUAGGAAGAGAGGAAGUCAAAUUGUCUCUCUGUUUGCAGAUGACAUGAUUGUAUAUUUAGGAAACCCCAUCAUCUAAACACAUUCUUAAAAAGCUGGUAAAAGAGACUCUUCUGAGAGCUGACACAGGCUAGACUCGCCUGGGUGACAGUGAUGGUGACAGGGAGAAAUAUGGAACACAGCUAGAGAUUGAGCUAAAAGAAUGAGAAGUGGAAAGACUUGUGGAGCCUGGUGGGUGCCAGUUCAGCCCCCACAAAAGCAGCCCUCCCAGCGUGAACCCCUUCCCUGCAGGAGUGAAUGGGAGAGCCUGAGGAAUGACCUAGGGCUACCGUGGCUUCACCCCACUGCUCUCCACUGCCACAUCCACUUCUGGGCAGACAGCACAGUCAGUUGCCAGAUGCCUCUUCUGCACGGAGACCAUUUACUUGUGAGCCUGACAGACAGCUUCACACCACCCUGAGGAAGUGGUUCAGAAAGAAAAUGUCAGUGUUUGUACUCAUGACAGUCUUCAAAGAAAUUUGGAAAGCAUAGACACUGAACGGCAGUCCUUAAUUGCCCCCCAACCCCAGUAAGCUGUGAUCUACUCCAGAAGUGAGAAUUAUCAAAACUUUGGAUCUGGUAGGUCCUCUUGUUUAUUUUGUCAUUCUCAUGAUCUCCACUUGGCCUUCAUUUUCUUUUCCUUUGUUCCUUUUUUUAAAAAAUAUAAGCUCUAUUAUUCACAGUAGCAAAGACAUGGAAUCAACUUAGGUGCCAUCAGUGGUGGAUCGAAUAAAGAAAAUGUGGCAUAUAUACACCAUGGAAUACUAUGAAGCCAUAAAAAAGAACAAAAUCGCCUUCCAGCGAUAGGGAUGCAGCUGGUGACCAUUAUCUCAAGCAAAUUAAUGCAGAAACAGAAAACCAAAUACUGCAUGUCCUCACUUAUAAAUGGGAGCUAAAUAUUGGGUACACACAGAUAUAAAGUUGGGAACAAUAGACACGGGGGACCUUACAGGAGGAGAGGGAUGAAGGAGGACAAGGGUUGAAGACUCCCUAUUGGGUACUAUGGUCACCAUUUGGGUGACAAGUCCAAUCAAAGCCCAAACUUCAGCAUCACACAGUAUACCCAUGUAACAAACCUGCACAUGUACCCCUGAAUCUAACAUUUAAAAAGAAAAAAUAAAUUAUAAGCUCUAUAAUACAUGCUAAAAGUAUUUAAAACAUUAUGUACUGUAUCAUUUAAGGUAGGUAAACCUCAAAAUUCCAAUGGCUUCACUCAAGAGAACUUCUUUCUUUUUUUUUUUUUUUUGAAACAGGGUCUCACUUUGUCACCCAGGCUGGAGUGCAGUGGUGCAAUCUUGGCUCACUGCAACCUCCACCUCCCAGG
Molecule: long non-coding RNA, 1564 nt
Filed under: Homo sapiens (human)
Lineage: Eukaryota; Metazoa; Chordata; Mammalia; Primates; Hominidae
Description: HSALNT0097693
Source: RNAcentral